This 773-nucleotide unclassified non-coding RNA is filed under the name Hevea brasiliensis (rubber tree). The record is from RNAcentral. Lineage: Eukaryota; Viridiplantae; Streptophyta; Magnoliopsida; Malpighiales; Euphorbiaceae.
AGACCAUGCUCUACCAUCUAACCCAGAUCCUUGUUUGCCUUGGAUCAUCUUUCCAAUUUGCCUAUCCCUUAAUGGUGGAUGUUAGACUAUUCUACUCUAAUUAAUAUUUAAUUUAGAAAAGGAAAUUUAAAAACCAAAAAUCAAAGAAAGUUGAACCAAAAUUUAUUUCAAAUAACAUUAUGAGCUUCAAAAUUUGGUUUCCCCAUUAGAUCCCAGUUCAGCCAACUAAUUCCUCAGACAACUCCUCCACUAAUAAUCCAAAGAUUCCUAGUUCAAUCUUUAAUGCUGUCUCUCCUACCUGUUCUUGGUACCUUUUCCACCCGUUAACUUCUUCUCUUUUAAAAUCUUGCUCCACCAUCAUAUCAAUGGUGUUUGAUUCCACCUCUUUCCAUGAUUCAAACCUCUUGCAGACCCUUUUAACCAUUGCUUCUCUAUCAGCAAAGUAUUCCUGCUCUUGCUCUUCCUCGUUAAUGAGAUCAGAAACCAAUCUCUUCAUGUCUCUUGGGAUUUUUCUUAGACGACAGAAGCUUGUUUUUCUAAGUUCUUCGAUGAUAAACCUGUCAAUGUUCUGUUCCCCGUCGGAUAAAUCUAGCUCAUCAUCUUCGCCUUCCACUUCUUCCUCUUGAUCAUCAAUUUCUUCUUCUUGCUCCAGCAUUCUUUUCUCAAGUUCAACAGGGUCCAACUCUGCCAGUUUCUCGAAUCUACUUAGUUUUUGCAACAGCUGCUGCUUUGCUCUUCGUACAAUUUCAUAGCUGCAUUCAAUGUCAAAACCG